This 75-nucleotide antisense RNA is filed under the name Streptomyces rubellomurinus. Its description in RNAcentral is "ASpks TB sRNA". It matches the Rfam family "ASpks TB sRNA". Lineage: Bacteria; Bacillati; Actinomycetota; Actinomycetes; Kitasatosporales; Streptomycetaceae. The record is from Rfam by way of RNAcentral. RNAcentral also lists the same sequence under 1 other name.
CUUGAUCGAGCCCAACCGGAGCGGCCGGUCGGCGGAGUGCGCCCGCCCGUAGGUGGCGAUGAGCGCCUGCGCCUC